UGCGGCGCAACUAUAACGUUUGUGUUGUUUGAGCCUGGUCAGUACCUGGAUGGGAGACCUCCUGGGAAAACUAGGUUGCUGCUGGAA
This 87-nucleotide ribosomal RNA is filed under the name Sinocyclocheilus rhinocerous. The record is from RNAcentral. Lineage: Eukaryota; Metazoa; Chordata; Actinopteri; Cypriniformes; Cyprinidae.